GGGAAAGUGGCUCAGUGGUAGAGCACUUGCCUUGCAUGCAUGAGGCCCUGGGUUCAAUUCCUCAGCACCA
Dipodomys ordii (Ord's kangaroo rat) is the source of this 70-nucleotide non-coding RNA. NCBI's taxonomy places the organism in Eukaryota, Metazoa, Chordata, Mammalia, Rodentia, Heteromyidae. The record is from Rfam.